UCAUCGGAUUUAUUCAGAUCCACCAAACAAGUUUAUUAAUUUUUUU
Molecule: non-coding RNA, 46 nt
Organism: Meloidogyne hapla
Lineage: Eukaryota; Metazoa; Nematoda; Chromadorea; Rhabditida; Meloidogynidae
Source: Rfam